Macaca mulatta (Rhesus monkey) is the source of this 2882-nucleotide long non-coding RNA. The record is from Ensembl. Lineage: Eukaryota; Metazoa; Chordata; Mammalia; Primates; Cercopithecidae.
GUGCAUUCUGCGGGUCCCUGUCCUGGCUGGCUCCCGGCUUGUCCUGAGGGCGUGCGCGCGUGGGGUCCCAGGCAGGCGUGCCCUCCAGUGUGAGUGCGAGUGAGUGUGGCCCCACCCAGCUCUCUCUGCUCUGUGCUGCCCGCGCAGCCCGCACACUCAUCCUGCGUGGUUGCUGCUGGGUGACACCAGCAGCUCACCCUGCUUGGUUACAGCGGGUGGUUGCUGGGCCGGCCCCCUGCCUGCCAGCCUCUGGCGCACACUGGCGCUGGCGGUCGCAGAGGCCCCGCCGUGCCCCGCGUGGCCUGCUGAGCCGCCCCUGGGCCGGGGUCCCUCCGGGCCAUGCCGUGCCCAGGCGGUGCAGCGCUGCCUGUAUGACCUCCCUCCGCGGCGCGGGGAAAAGGCGACCAUCUGCCUCCAGGAGCAUGUGGCCAUCGACAUGUACCCCGGACCCAAAUCUCUGGCUACUUCCCGCGGGACCUGCCCCAUGACGCCCCCGCGUGCCUGGCCACCUCCGAAGUCGCCCGCGACGACGGCGAGGAUGGGGACCAUCUCUUCGGAGCCUAAGAAUCCAGCACUGCGCAGCAGCCCUCCAAGCCGCCAGAGGACGAGCUGGACGCCGAAGGCUACGAGUGGACGACUGCAAAACAAGAGCCUGCUGAGGCGAGCGAGAGCUGACGAGAGCCCAUCUGUGUGUCCCUGGCUGUACACGCUUGGCUGGGUUUUCUAAAGGAAGCGAAGGCAGAGACCUGAAGCCCGUGGACCACAAUGGGCUGUCAGACCCCUGUGUCAAGCUGCACCUGCGGCCAGGAGCCAGGAGGAAGGUGAGGGAGUUUUACCCUGGCUUGCCCACCAGCUGUGACCACUCAUGGCGAUGGGGCCUGGACUGGGCUGGGGGCACCCAGGGAGGCCCACAGAUGCCACUCCUCCUCAGAGCCCAAGCAAGCCGAUGAGACCUCAGCCAUUUACCUCCAUGCAGAGCAGCCGGUCUGUCCCACACCUGGGAUGCCUUCCAGCAUAACCUACCUGCUGAUCUGGAGAAAGCCCUGGAGAAUUUCCAGGCUGGUUUUUUAUAAGAAGCAUUCUCAGCUGGAGGUUGCUAUGAUGUGCCAACAAAGAACUGUGGUCAGAUCACAUUGGAAAACAUUAUUAAACCAGUUUCUUUACUGCAGGACUUAACCAGAGCCUUUAAUGUGCUGAUGGGCUGUUCCUUGACUCUCAGUAAAGGGGAUGAAGUAGGCAGCAUCUGCCCAAUGUAUUUGACCACAGAAUCCUCAUUCCCACGAGAGAUGGGCCAAAAGACCAACCACAAAUGCAGUUAAGGCACCAGCACAACACAUGCAUCUAGGAGAGGAGAGAAAAAAAAUGCUAUUAAAUAAAAGCAUCAAGGUGAUCUUGAGCCAUGAAAAAUCAGAACUUCUUAGACUUACUUCCUUCUGUGCAUCCUACACUUCAGUGUUGUUUUAUUUUUAAUUUCAUAGGGCAGAAUCUGAGUUGACUUGGGGACCUAAAUGUGCAUGCCUGGGGCCCACCGCAGUCCAGGAGGACCACCCCAGAGGGGAACAUUGCGUCUUCUCUGGGGAAGGCAGGGCUGUAGGAAACACGGCAGUGCCCCACCACCUACUCCUGGGGAAGAAAUGGCUCCUCACACCAGGCCUCGAUGUCCUUACGCUGCAAGUGGAGCUCAGGGAUGUGAGAGCCAAGAGCGAGUGUAACCAGAGAAGUGUGCCCAACGGGGGGGCUCAGUGACCCCUAACUCGUGGGACUGGAGCUGGCAGGGCCUGUUGUAGGAAGUCCCCGGGACUCUCCCCAGUGUUUUAUAAAGAGCAGUCUCCUUACAGGCAAGCUCCUGAAAGCUGUGCGAGAGAGGGAUUCCUGUGUCCUUUCCACGGUGGGGAACCUGACGCUGCCACAGAGCUGGAAUUGGAACCCGGUUGCCUGACCUCCAAGCCUGGGCCGGGGUGGCGGGCAUCAGACUGAGUCAGACACGGAGCUCAGAGUCACUGGCACAGGAGAAGGAGUUGUGGCAAUGUUCCAGCUCAGAGAGGUCACUGCACGAGCAUGCCCAAGGACAGGAUGGGUUCCAGGCAAAGGGGACAGUCCGCAGAGACAGGGCAUGCCCUCGGAAGGAGACUUCAUUUCCACACCAGGCGUCCUGCAGAACCCACCCAAGGGCAUCGGGGCUGGAGCUGGGAUCCUCCUUGGAUGAAUCUCCUAUGGCUGCUGCAGCAAAUGAGCUUAGAGGCUUAGAGCAGCACACUUACUAUCUCACAGCUCUGCAGGUUAGAAGUCCAACAGCGGUCUCCCUGGGCUCAUGUCAAGGUGUUGGCAGGGCUGCAUUCCUUCUGGAGCCUGGGGAUUCCACCCAUUUCCUGGCUCUUUCCAGCUUCUAGAGGUCGCCUGCCCUCCUUGGCUGGUGGCCCCUUCCUCCAUCUUCACAGCCGUCCCGGUUGCAUCUCCCUGACCUUCUUCCUUGGUGACAUCUCGCUCUCUCUUCUCUGUUCUUUCUUCUGCUUUUAAGAAGCAUGUGACCACAUUGGGCCACUCAGACAGUCUAGGAUAAUCUCCCUAUUUUAAAGUCAGCUAAUUAACAACCCUAACUCCAUCUGCAGGCUCAGUUCCCCUUGGCAUAUCAAUAACAUAUCCACAGCUUUGGAGAUGAGGACAUGGCCAUCUCUGGGGCAUUGUUCUGUCUACCACACCCUUUGAUGCUAAUAAGAUCAUUUUUUCCUUUCUCCAGGCAAAUAAGCUCAGAACAAAACUCUCCGUAACACUGUGAACCCCGCGUGGAACAAAACCCUCAUUUCCUAUAGGAUCACAGGUGAAGACAUGACCCACAAGACCCUGCAGUGGGUGAGGGCCCUCGGCUGCCUGCUCCCUCCCCA